RNAcentral lists this ribosomal RNA (494 nucleotides) under Culicoides sp. 'dappled'. Its description in RNAcentral is "partial 16S ribosomal RNA". The record is from RNAcentral. Lineage: Eukaryota; Metazoa; Arthropoda; Insecta; Diptera; Ceratopogonidae.
AAACAUGUCUUUUUGGAUUAAUAUAAAGUUUGACCUGCCCGGUGAAAAUUUUUAACGGCCGCGGUAUUAUGACCGUGCAAAGGUAGCAUAAUCAUUUGUCUUUUAAUUGAAGGCUUGUAUGAAUGGUUGGAUGAGAUAUAAACUAUUUUUAUUUAAUUAAAAAUGAAUUUUAAUUUUUAGUAAAAAUGCUAAAAUAAAUAAAGAAGACGAGAAGACCCUAUAAAUCUUUAUUUUUAUAAAAUAAUUAGUUUUUUAGAUUAAAUAUAAUUAAUUUUUUUAUAAAAAUUUUAUUGGGGUGAUAAAAAAAUUUAAUUAACUUUUUUUUAUUUAUAUUUAUAUAAAAAAAUUUAUGAUCCAUUAAUAAUGAUUAAAAAAUUAAGUUACUUUAGGGAUAACCGCGUAAUUAUUUUAGAGAGUUCAUAUCGAUAGAUUAUGUUGCGACCUCGAUGUCGAAUUACCAGUAGGUUUAGGUGUAGAAGUUUAAAUUNUAAGUC